This is a non-coding RNA of Xyrichtys novacula (pearly razorfish), 11832 nucleotides long. The record is from the annotation of a GenBank genome assembly. NCBI's taxonomy places the organism in Eukaryota, Metazoa, Chordata, Actinopteri, Labriformes, Labridae.
UGGGCGGCUUGGAGUGAUGGAGGUGCGGCGUCUUCUUUUAGGUGGCGGCGCAGCGUCUACUUCGAGGCAGUGGUACGUCUUCUUGGCCCUGUGGUCUGUGCUUUGUCUCGAUUACAGGAACAAGCAUUGCUCUUUAGUGCACAACACUUAAAUGUGCUUUUGACAAAAGAAGACAUCCCCAGAGUUGGGCUCGAGUCAUGGUUUGUGCUGUUCCUCUCAGACAUGGUUGUGUUCUCUUCUCGAUGUUUGUAUUCCAGAAUGGAUGUCUCUUGGUUGUAUUUUAAACUUUCAAGUUAAUUUUAAUGUAGUUUAUUGUUUUAAAUUGAGUUUUGCUACAUUAAAUUUGUAUACACUCGCAAGGGAUUGUGGGUAUUUUAGUUCUGAGGGAUGAGAGCCUAAGGAAUCAAUCUUCCUGUUACAGCAAAGGAUUGUGGGUAAAACCGUGAGUGAGUGAGGUACUUCCUUUCUGGCACGAGAGCCUUGGGAAUCAAUCUCCCUGUUGUAGCAAAGGAUUGUGGUUAAAACCGUGAGUGAGGGAGGUACAUUUUUCCUGGCAUGAGAACCUCAGGAGUCAGUCCUUCCUAAGAAAAAAGAGGGGAGGGGGGAAGAAAAACAAAAGCACAGGAACCCUAAAAUAAAAUAAAAUAAAAUAAAAUAAGAUAAUAUAAAACAAUUAAAAAAAUAAAAAAAUAAAAGAAGAACAAAAGUGGAUUGCAAAAGGGAAAGGGGAAGAAAAAAGGAAAAAAAGAAGUGUCAAGAGCAAAUAGCAAAAAUCAGAAGUGAGCUUAGAAACAGAGAACAGUUCCCUAAAAGAAAGACAGAAAUGUAAAUUUGAUCAAUGUCCUAAGGGAAAAUCUGUACGUGUGUGUGUGUGUUCUUUUUUGCUAACUUAGUCUGGUGUCACUGAUGGUCAGUUAUUGAUAAGUAUUUAUUAUUUAAAUUUUUGAUGAAGUUGUUUGUAGUGGGGUUAGCUGGCUAAUUUUAGAGUGUUAAAAAAGAUGUUAGAAGGGGAGGAUUUAGGGGGCACGGCGGUUCCCCUUCAGGUCUCUCUUAAUCCUCCAUAUAGGUGACCCAACAGGGGUUACCCCCCGGCCGGGGUAGGCCUAGGCUGAAGAUCACCUAUUUGUCCUCUGUGAAGGUGACAAUAAAGGGGCAGGGGAGGGAAUAAGAAAGAGGGGGGGGGGGUGUUAGAGAGAGGGGGAGAGAUGAGGGAGAGAGAUGAGGGAGAGAGAGAGAGAGAGAGAGAGAGAGAGAGUGUGUGUGUGUGUGUGUGUGUGUGUGUGUGUGUGUGUGUGUGUGUGUGUGUGUGUGUGUGUGUGUGUGUGUGUGUGAGAGAGAGGGAGAGGGGGGUUUAAGGGAGAGGUGGAGAUGGUGGAAAAUAAAGAUUGGUGAGGGGGAUUUGGUGGCGGAUGAAACAUCCCAUAGCUCCCCAGCUCUCACCAUCCAUGUGAGGAGAGUGAGCAAGGGACAUAGUCCCCCGACCCGACUAGGUCUAGGCUGUAAACGUGGAAGUGAGAGUUCUCUAGGCAGAGUUUUGGGUUUGGUUUGAGCUGAGUUGGUCAGUUGAUUAUUGAUUACUAUUUUAAGUUCUAAAAGUGGAUAGAGUCAAAAAGUCACAGAGGAUUGUGGUGGGAGCAGGUGGUCCGUCUGGCACCAUUCUGCUCAUGCAGGGAUUCGAGUGAUAGAAAGAGAAUAGAUCUUGCCACCGUGACUCGCCAUUGAGACUCUCCUCACCUUCUGGUUUUCAUCCUCUGAUAGGAGAGAGAGGUACAGGUCAGGAGAGAGGGAGAAAAGGAGGGAGGCAGGGUGGGGUCAGGAGUUAAUUUGUCUUGAAAAGUAUUUAUCUUUUCGUAAUUGCUGUUAGGGUUUAGAUGUUUCUUGUUUAGUUAUUUGGGGAAUGUAGUGUUAGUAUAGGUUCCAAGGUGGAGGAUUCUUUGGAAUUCACUCUCACCCUUGAAACUGGAAGAUCUUAGAUUCUAUAAAGGGGGUGGGGGAGGGGGGGGUUAGAGGUCGUGUGCACAGAAGGAGCAUGGGCUUAGACUAUUCUCAGAAUGAUAUUGUGACAAGUCUGUCCGAAGGCAAUUGGCAGGUUAGGUGUGGGUAAGAGAUACAGUGAUAGCCCCCGCUUUCGUCGGUUGACUUGGCAGUUUGGGGUAGGCUGAUCAAGGGCUUGAACUGGCCGGCGCAUGUCAACCUGUCACAUGUUCCAGUCGAGUCUACUAGCUCAAUCUGUGUGUAAAAAUUAUGUGUUAGUAGAAAGUUUAAUGACUCAGCUCAGUUGGUAUGCUAUGCUGUCUAUCUUUUAGACUAUGUGUUUGUAGAGCAAUAUUAUGUAUAUAUUAUGUUACAGGGCUAGGAAAAGGUCAAAGGUUUUUGGCGUUAGGGUUAAAAUCACUGUCCAAAACCUUUUUAGGAACAUGUUUCAGACCUUUUGGAGUUGGUUACACCAAAAAAAAAAUGUAAAAUGAAAAAAAAGUAUUUGGGGUGUUCGGGCUUCCUGAAGGUAAUUAGGUUAUGGGGCUAUGGUUAAAAUCAAGUGAGGGUUAAAAUCACUGUCCAAAACCUUUGUAGGAACUCUUUUCCAACCUUUUGGAGUUAGUUAGACCAAAAAAAAAGAAAAAGAAAAAAAAAAUAUUUGGGGUUUUCAGACUUCCUGAAGGAAAUACCCAGGUAUUAGGUUUUUUGGGCUAUGGUAAGGUUAAGGUUUUUGGCAUUAGCGUUAAAAUCACUGUCCAACACCUUUUUAGGAACACGUUUCAGACCUUUUGGAGUUAGUCACACCAAAAAGAAAUGAAAAAUGAACAAAAAUUUUUGGGGUGUUCGGGCUUCCUGAAGAUAAUUCCUGAGUAUUAGGUUAUGGGGCUAAGGUAAGGUUUAAGGUUUUUGGCGAGAGGGUUAAAUCACUGACAAAACCUUUGUAGGAACUCUUUUCCAACCUUUUGGAGUUAGUUAGACCAAAUAAAAAUGAAAAAUAAAAUAAAACUAGGGCCCCGGUGGGGCACUGUCGGGCCCAAGCCGCGUCGCGCCGCCCCCAGCGCGACCACCUCCCCCUCCCGAUCGCGUCACACUCAAGGUCCAAAGAUGGUGUGCGCACUUGUCUGUGGUCAUUUCCCAUUUUAAUGAAUGGGAGGCGCAGUUUCUACCAAAACACUCGCUGCAGACAAACUACAUGUCCUAUUUGAAAAAAGUGUGGACCAUGAGUGAGGGCACAAACACAGCUAGGAUAUAUCCAAACGGCAAGUUGCUCCUCGUUACGGUGUUGCCGGGAGAGCGAUGCGAUUGAGCCAUUGAGUGAUGGGCAGGAAAAACUUGACUGUUUCUCCUGCCAUGGGGGAUGGGGGAUGGGGGAUGGGGGGGGGAUGUGGAUUCUUUUAAGAAUGUGGAUAUUUGGGUCAUCUUUGGCGCCCCCUAGAACGUAAAGUGUGGGGUGCAGCGUCACGAUUUUUACAACUUUGAAUGGCCAUGGGGUGUAGAUUGGCCUGAGCAAAUGUGGUGCCGGUGGACAGAAAGCCUUCGGAGGAGUUAGCGAAAUUCCAAUGUGUGCGGAUCGGCAAAAAAUGCGGAAUAACCCUUUAACCGUACAUUUGACAGAUACGCGCGCAUUGACUUUUUCAUAGAUCUUAUUGAGAUACAUGUGUGUGUCGGAUUUUGUGUCAUUUUGCCAUAGCGUACAGGCGUGACACUCAACAAUGUGUAUUUUCACCUUAGGGGACAAGAAAAAAUGGACUUUUUUCUCCUGCCAUGGGGGGGCGCUCUUUUGGGGAGUGAAAAUUCCUUCACAAAUGUGUUGAUGGCUGGACAUUGCAUCAUCCUAGAAAACUUGGAGGCCAGUGAGGGCAAAAAUAAAAAGUUAUAAGACUUUUAAAUAUGUGGAUUUUAGGGUUAUCUUUGGCGCCCCCUAGAACCUAAACCGUGGGGUGCAGCGUCAUGAUUUGAAUAACUUUUAAUGGCCAUGGGGUGUAGAUUGGCCUGAGCAAAUGUGGUGCCGGUGGAACGAAAGCCUUCAAAGGAGUUAGCGAAAUUCCAAUGUGUGCGGAUCGGCAAAAAAUGCAAAAUAACCCUUUAACCGUACAUUUGACAGAUACGCCCGCACUGACUUUUUUGUAGAUCUUAUUGAGAUACAUGUGUGUGUCAAUUUUUGUGUCAUUUUGACAAAGCGUACAGGCCUGACAGUCAAUAGUGUGAAUUUUCACCUUAGGGGGCGCUAUGGAGCCAUUUUGCAUUUUCUUGUUUGGUCGACUUCAGAAUAUCAAAUUUUUCACCAGGCCCGGUCGUCCUGCCAAAUUUCAUGAGUUUUCGCCAGUGGGAAGUGGGCCAUUUUCCAGUUCAAAGGGGAGGAAAAAGAAAAAAGAAACAAAGAAAAACCACUACAGGAAUAAUAGGGCCUCGCAGCUGCCUAGCAUCUACGCUCGGGCCCUAAAUAUUUGGGGUGUUCGAGCUUCCUGAAGGUAAUACCAGGGUAUUUGGUUUUGGGGCUUUGGAAAGGUUUAAGGUUUUUGGCGUUAGGGUUAAAAUCACUUUUCAAAACCUUUUUAGGAACACGUUUCAGACCUUUUGGAGUUGGUUACACUAAAAAAAAUGUAAAAAGAAAAAAAAAAUAUUUCUGGCUUCCUAUUAGGUUAUGGGGCUUUGGAAAGGUUUAAGGUUUUUGGCAUUAGGGUUAGCAUUUGGCAUUAGGGUUAAAAAUCACUGUCCAAAACCUUUGUAGGAACUCUUUUCCAACCUUUUGGAGUUAGUUAGACCAAAAAAAAAGGAAAAAAAAAAAAAUAUUUGGGGUGUUCGGGCUUCCUGAAGGUAAAACCCGUAUUAGGUUAUGGGGCUUUGGAAAGGUUUAAGGUUUUUGCCGUCAGGGUUAAAAUCACUGUCCAAAACCUUUUUAGAAACAUGUUUCAGAACUUUUGGAGUUGGUUACACCAAAUAAAAAUGUAAAAUGAAAAAAAAGUAUUUGGGGUGUUUGGGCUUCCUGAAGGUAAUUAGGUUAUGGGGCUAUGGUUAAAAUCAAGUGAGGGUUAAAAUCACUGUCCAAAACCUUUGUAGGAACUCUUUUCCAACCUUUUGGAGUUAGUUAGACCAAAAAAAAAAAAAAAAGAAAAAAAAAAUAUUUGGGGUUUUCAGACUUCCUGAAGGAAAUACCCAGGUAUUAGGUUUUUGGGGCUAUGGUAAGGUUAAGGUUUUUGGCAUUAGCGUUAAAAUCACUGUCCAACACCUUUUUAGGAACACGUUUCAGAACUUUUGGAGUUGGUUACACCAAAAAAAAUGUAAAAUGAAAAAAAAAUAUUUGGGGUGUCAGGCUUCCUGAAGGUAAUACCCGGGUAUUAGGUUAUGGGGCAAGGGAAAGGUUUAAGGUUUUUGGCGUUAGGGAUAUAAUCACUGUCCAAAACCUUUGUAGGAACUCUUUUCCAAGCUUUUGGAGUUAGUCACACCAAAAAGAAAUGAAAAAUGAACAAAAAUUUUUGGGGUGUUCGGGCUUCCUGAAGAUAAUUCCUGAGUAUUAGGUUAUGGGGCUAAGGUAAGGUUUAAGGUUUUUGGCGAGAGGGUUAAAUCACUGACAAAACCUUUGUAGGAACUCUUUUCCAACCUUUUGGAGUUGGUUAGACCAAAAAAAAAGAAAAAUGAAAAAAAAAUAUUUGGGGUUUUCGGGCUUCCUUACGGUAAUACCCGGGUAUUAGGAUAUUGGGCUUUGGAAAGGUUGAAGGUUUUUGGCGUGAGGGUUAAAAUCACUGUCCAAAACCUUUUUAGGAACUCUUUUCCAACCUUUUGGAGUUAGUUAGACCAAAUAAAAAUGAAAAAUAAAAUAAAAAUAUUUGGGGUGUUCGGGCUUCCUGAAGGUAAUACCAGGGUAUUUGGUUUUGGGGCUUUGGAAAGGUUUAAGGUUUUUGGCGUUAGGGUUAAAAUCACUUUUCAAAACCUUUUUAGGAACACGUUUCAGACCUUUUGGAGUUGGUUACACUAAAAAAAAUGUAAAAAGAAAAAAAAAUAUUUCUGGCUUCCUAUUAGGUUAUGGGGCUUUGGAAAGGUUUAAGGUUUUUGGCAUUAGGGUUAGCAUUUGGCAUUAGGGUUAAAAAUCACUGUCCAAAACCUUUGUAGGAACUCUUUUCCAACCUUUUGGAGUUAGUUAGACCAAAAAAAAAGGAAAAAUAAAAAAAAAUAUUUGGGGUGUUCGGGCUUCCUGAAGGUAAAACCCGUAUUAGGUUAAGGGGCUUUGGAAAGGUUUAAGUUUUUGCCACAGGGUUAAAAUCACUGUCCAAAACCUUUUUAGAAACAUGUUUCAGAACUUUUGGAGUUGGUUACACCAAAUAAAUAUGUAAAAUGAAAAAAAAAUAUUUGGGGUGUUCCGGCUUCCACACAGGUAUUAGGUUAUGGGGCUAGGGUAAGGUUUUAGGUUUUUGGCGUUCGAUUAAAAUCACUGUCCAAAUCCUUUGUAGGAACUCUUUUCCAACCUUUUGGAGUUAGUUAGACCAAAAAAAAAAGAAAAAAGAAAAAGAAAUAUUUGGGGUUUUCGGGCUUCCUGAAGGUAAUAAGUAUUAGGUUAUGGGGCUAGAGUAAGGUUUAGAGUUUUGGCGUUAGGUUUAAAAUCACUGUCCAAAACCUUUUUAGGAACAUGUUUCAGACCUUUUGGACUUGGUUACACCAAAAAAAAAUGUAAAAUGAAAAAAAAGUAUUUGGGGUGUUUCGGGCUUCCUGAAGGUAAUACCUGGGUAUUAGGUUAUGGGGCUAUGGAAAUGUUCAAGGCUUUUGGUGUUAGGGUUAAAAUCACUGUCCAAAACGUUUGUAGAAAGUCUUUUCCAAGCUUUUGGAGUUAGUUACACCAAAAAAAAAAACGAAAAAUGAAAAAAAAAUAUUUGGGGUUUUCGGGCUUCCUGAAGGUACUACCCAGGUAUUAGGUUUUGGGGCUAGGGUAAGGUUUAAGGUUUUUGGUGUUAAUGUUAAAAUCACUGUCCAAAACCUUUUUAGGAACUCUUUUCCAACCUUUUGGAGUUAGUUAGACCAAAAAAAAAGAAAAAGAAAAAAUAUAUAUUUGGGGUGUUCGGGCUUCCUGAAGGUAAUACUCGAGUAUUAGGUUAUGGGGCUAGGGAAUGGUUAAAGGUUUUUGGCGUUAGGGUUAAAAUCAGUGACCAAAACCUUUUUAGGAACAUGUUUCAGACCAUUUGGAGUUGAUAACACUAAAAAAAAUGUAAAAAGAAAAAAAAAUAUUUGGGGUGUCUGGGCUUCCUGAAGGUAAUACCCGGGUAUUAGGUUAUGGGGCUUGGGAAAGGUUUAAGGUUUUUGGCAUUAGGGUUAAAAAUCACUGUCCAAAACCUUUGUAGGAACUCUUUUCCAACCUUUUGGAGUUAGUUAGACCAAAAAAAAAAGAAAAAAGAAAAAUAAAUAUUUGGGGUUUUCGGGCUUCCUGAAGGUAAUAAGUAUUAGGUUAUGGGGCUAGGGUAAGGUUUAAGGUUUUUGGCGUUAGGGUUAAAAUCACUGUCCAAAACCUUUUAAGGAACAUGUUUCAGACCUUUUUAGUUGGUUACACCAAAAAAAUGUGAAAAUAAAAAAAAAUAUUUGGGGUGUUCGGGCUUCCUGAAGGUAAAACCCGGGUAUUAGAUUAUGGGGCUAUGGUAAGGUUUAAGGUUUUUGGUGUAAGGGUUAAAAUCAGUGUCCAAAACCUUUGUAGGAACUCUUUUCCAACCUUUUGGAGUUAGUUAGACCAAAAAAAAAUUAAAAAUAAAAAAAUAUAUAUUUGGGGUGUUUGGGCUUCCUGAAGGUAAUAUUAGGUUAUUAGGUUAUGGGGCUAUGGUAAGGUUUAAGGUUUUUGGCGUUAGGGUGAAAAUCACUGUCCAAAACCUUUUUAGGAACAUGUUUCAGACCUUCUGGAGUUAGAUAAAAAAAAAUGAAAAAUGAAAAAAAAAUGUUUGCGGCGUUAGGGCUUCCUUCAGGUAAUACCCGGGUAUUAGGUUAUGGGGCUAUGGUAAGGUUUAAGGUUUUUGGUGUCAGGGUUAAAUACCCGAUAUUAAGUUUGAAAAUUGCCACAACCUCAAGUUCAACAAACACACAAACUCAAGUUCAACAAACACCAAAAAAUCAAGUUCAAACACCAAAAAAACUCAAGUUCAAAAAAACCACAAACUCAAGUUCAAACACACCACAAACUCAAGUUUAAAACGACACAAACUCAAGUUCAACAAGCACAUAAACUCAAGUUCAACCAAUAUCGUAUUCUCAAGUUUAACAAAUUCCACAUACACAAGUUAAAAAACGACACAAACUCAAAUUCAGCAAAAACCACAAACUCAAGUUCAAACAACACCUGAUUCUCAAGUUUAUAAAUUUUCACAACCUCAAGAUCUAAAAACACACAAACUCAAGUUCAACAUACAACACAAACUUAAGUCCAAACACGAGAAAAACUCAAGUUCAACCAAAACCCAAAUCUCAAGUUUAACAAUUGCCACAACCUCAAGUUCAACAAACACACAAUAACAAGUUCAACAAACAACACAAACUUAAGUUCAAACACAAAACUCAAUUGCAAAAAUGACAAAAACUCAAGUUCAACAAUCACACAAACUCAAGUUCAAACACAGCACAAACUGGAGUUCAAAUAACACACAAACUCAAGUUUAACAAACACACAAAAUCAAGUUCAGAAACACCACAAACUCAAGUUCAAACACACAACAAACUCAAGUUCAAACACGACACAUACUCAAGUUCAAAAAACGCCACAAACUCAAGUUCAAACACUAAAACAAAAUCAAGUUCGAAAACACCACAAACUCAUGUUCAAAUACAACACAAACUCAAGUUCAACAAACAAACAAACUCAAGUUCAACAAACACCACAAACUCAUGUUCAAACACAACACAAACUCAAGUUCAACAAACACACAACCUGAAGUUCAAAAACACAAGUAACUCAUGUUCAAACACAACAAAAACUCAAGUUCAACAAACACACAAACUCAAAUUCAACACACACACACUCAAAUUUAACCAACACCUGAUUAUCAGGUUUAACAAUUUCCACAACUUCUAUUUCAAAAAAUAGAGAAACUCAAGUUAAAAAAAAACACAGACUCAACUUCACCAAACACGCAAAUUCAAGUUAUAAACACCACAAACUCAAGUUCAAAUACGACACAAACUCAAGUUCAAAAACACCAAAAACUUAAGUUCAACCAAUACCCAUUUCUCAAGUUUAACAAUUUCCACAACAUCAAGUUCAAAAACAACACAGACUCAAGUUAAAAAAAACCACAAACUUAAGUUCAAAAACACCAAAUACUCAAGUUUAACAAAAACCACAAUCUAAAGUUCAACCAACACGUGAUUCUCAAGUUUAAAAAUUUUCACAUCCUCAACUUCAAAAAUUACACAAACUCAAGUUCAACAAACAACACGAACUCAUGUUCAAACACGACACAAACUCAAGUUCAACCAACAACCAAAUCUCAAGUUCAAAAACAACACUGACUCAAGUUUAAAACACCAAAUACUGAAGUUCAAAUAUGACACAAAAUCGAGUUCAACAAACACACAAACUCAAGUUCAACAAACGCGACAAACUCAAGUUCAAAUCCGAAACAAUCUCAAGUUCAAUAACACGACACAAACUCAAGUUCAAACACAACACAAACUCAAGUUCAAAAACACCAAAAAAUCAAGUUCAGACACGAUACAAACUCAAGUUCAUCAAAAACCACAAACUCAAGUUCAAACACGUAACAAACUCAAGUUCAAACACGACACAAACUAUAGUUUAAUCAACAACCAAAUCUCAGGUUAAACAAUUGCCACAACCUUAAGUUCAACAACCACACAAAAUCAAGUUCAACAAACGCCACAAACUCAAGUUCAAAUCCAAAACAAACUCAAGUUCAAUAACACGACACAAACUCAAGUUCAAACACAACACAAACUCAAGUUCAAAAACACCAAAAAAUCAAGUUCAAACAUGACACAAACUCAAGUUCAACAAACACCACAAACUCAAGUUCAAACACGAAACUCAAGUUCAAAAACACCACCAACCCAAAUUCAAAAUGACCACAAACUCAAGUUCAACAAACACACAAAAUCAAGUUCAAAAACGCCACAAACUCAAGUGCAAACACGACACAAACUCUAGUUCAACAAACACCACAAACUCAAGUUCAAACACAACACAAACUUAAGUUAAAAAAACACACAAACUCAAGUUAAAACACGACACGAACUCAAGUUCAACAAGAACCACAAACUCAGGUUCAAACACGAAACUCAAGUUCAAAAACACCACCAACUAAAGUUCAAAAAGACCACAAACUCAAGUUCAACAAACACACAAAAUCAAGUUCAAAAACACCACAAACUCAAGUGCAAACACGACACAAACUCUAGUUCAACAAACACUGCAAACUCAAGUUCAAACACAACACAAACUCAAGUUCAACAAACACACAAACUCAAGUUCAAAAACACCAAACUCAAUUGCAAACACGACACAAACUCAAGUUCAACAAACACCACAAACUCAAGUUCAAACAUGAAACACACUCAGGUUCAAACAUGACACAAACUAUAGUUCAACCAACAACCAAAUCUCAAGUUUUACAAUUGCCACAACGUCAAGUUUAACAACCACACAAACUCAAGUUCAAAAAUGAAACAAACUCAUGUUCAAAAACAUCACAAUCUUACGUUCAACAAACACAAAAACGUAAGUUCAAACACGACACAAACAAGUUCAACCAAAACAGAAAGUCAAAUUUUACAAUUGCCACAACCUCAAGUUCAACAAACUCCAUACCCUCAACUUCAAAAAAACCACAAACUCAAGUUCAAAAACACCACAAACUCAAGUUCAAACACAACACAAACUCAAGUUCAACAAAAACCACAAACUCAAGUUCAAACACGAAACUCAAGUUCAGAAACACCACCAAAUCAAGUUCAACAAAUUUCACAAACUCAAGUUCAACAAACAAACAAAAUAAAGUUCAAACACAACACAAACUCAAGUGCAAACACGACACAAACUCAAGUUCAACAAACACCACAAACUCAAGUUCAAACACGAAACUCAAGUUCAAAAACACCACCAACUCAAGUUCAAAAUGACCACAAACUCAAGUUCAACAAACACACAAAAUCAAGUUCAAAAACGCCACAAACUCAAGUGCAAACACGACACAAACUCAAGUUCAACAAACACCACAAACUCAAGUUCAAACACAACACAAACUUAAGUUAAAAAAACACAAACUCAAGUUAAAACACGACACGAACUCAAGUUCAACAAAAACCACAAACUCAGGUUCAAACACGAAACUCAAGUUCAAAAACACCACCAACUAAAGUUCAAAAAGACCACAAACUCAAGUUCAACAAAGACACAAAAUCAAGUUCAAAAACACCACAAACUCAAGUGCAAACACGACACAAACUCUAGUUCAACAAACACUACAAACUCAAGUUCAAACACAACACAAACUCAAGUUCAACAAACACACAAACUCAAGUUCAAAAACACCAAACUUAAUUGCAAACACGACACAAACUCAAGUUCAACAAACACCACAAACUCAAGUUCAAACAUGAAACACACUCAGGUUCAAACAUGACACAAACUAUAGUUCAACCAACAACCAAAUCUCAAGUUUUACAAUUGCCACAACGUCAAGUUUAACAACCACACAAACUCAAGUUCAACAACCACCACAAACUCAAGUUCAAAAAUGAAACAAACUCAUGUUCAAAAACAUCACAAACUUACGUUCAACAAACACAAAAACUUAAGUUCAAACACGACACAAACAAGUUCAACCAAAACAGAAAGUCAAGUUUUACAAUUGCCACAACCUCAAGUUCAAC